UGCCCUGUCCCAUGCACUAAACAAGGCUUGACUGGGAUCCAGCAGGAGCCACCUGUGUUGAUAAGUGGAAUGAUCUGUACGUGAAGCUUCUGCAGAAAUAUUAGACAUUGGGAUCACAUGAAAGCAGUGAUACAAGGCAUGACAAACAAACAACCAUCACCUCCUAAGGGAGGAGUGGACAUGUCAAAGCAACGCAUGGCAACGGGCACACAGGCAAAAAUCUCACUGACAGCGCCCAGCCUUUAUUGAAGGUCACUUGGAAAACAUGAGUCGAGUAGAAACGAGGUCAGAGCCAACAGAUAGAAGCCACCAGGCCACACAGUCAACAGAGCGGCAGUGGAGAAGACAGGAAAGACAGGUGGACACAGUAAACCCGCUGCAACUGUCUAGA
Molecule: long non-coding RNA, 391 nt
Organism: Pygocentrus nattereri (red-bellied piranha)
Lineage: Eukaryota; Metazoa; Chordata; Actinopteri; Characiformes; Serrasalmidae
Exons: 3
Source: RefSeq, a predicted model, not a curated record